This is a long non-coding RNA of Mauremys mutica (yellowpond turtle), 558 nucleotides long. RefSeq lists it as uncharacterized. Lineage: Eukaryota; Metazoa; Chordata; Testudines; Geoemydidae. The record is from RefSeq and is a predicted model, not a curated record. The transcript has 3 exons.
ACAGAUCAGCCAGCUGGAAAGCAAGUUCCAAGUUAAACAGCAUGCUGACAAACAGUGAAGAAAUAAAGUGAAGAUGACAACAAAAAUCCAUCCAACCCAUAUGGAAUGGAUUAUUGACUAAGCUCUCUCUGACAGAGCAAGUGGACAGAGUAAAAAUACAAUGGCAUUUUAUACUGAGUGAGAGUGUCGCUGCUUCAACCAAGUUUCCAUCCCCAACUUCUAAAACAGAAAGGAAAGGUGAUCGGACAUGAAGAACAGCAAUGACAGCUUCAGCCCGUCUCAACCAGAGACGACCCAUACCUGCCCAUAGUGGAGAGGCAGAGUGAGGACAGCGGCUUCAGCAGAUGUUACUAAGCAUGCUCAGUUCAUGGGAGCAUGCUCAGUAGAAGCCAAGCAGAAAAUCAUGCCCUCCUCAUGCACAUGAUGCCUCUGAUAUCAACUAACUUUUGCUCUUUUCCCCCCAAAAUACAGUUAUUACCAUCUUUAAUGCCAUGUAAAAUAGUGUCAAACAAGGGCUUUUUCCUUCUAAAAGCUCUCUCCAGCUAAAGGGAAAGAGAA